AUGGCAGCGGAGGAGAAGGACCCUCUGAGCUAUUUCGCGGCAUACGGGAGCAGCAGCUCAGGCUCCUCGGACGAGGAGGAUAACAUCGAGCCGGAGGAGACAAGUCGCAGAACCCCGGAUCCGGCGAAGUCGUCGGGCGGCUGUAGGAACAAGGCGGAGAAGCGGCUCCCGGGACCCGACGAGCUGUUUAGGAGCGUGACUCGCCCGGCCUUUCUCUACAAUCCGCUCAACAAGCAGAUAGACUGGGAGAGGCACGUCGUCAAGGCGCCUGAGGAGCUUCUCCCUGAGACCCCUUCCCUUUGACGCCGAAGUGCCUGCGGUGCUGCCUCCAAGACAGUGUCUGCUGCAGCUUCCUGAAGGGGUCAGCCUUGGCGUAGUAUCUCUGAGACUGGAUUCUUCUUUGCCUCCAAAGGAAUUCAAAAUAUGGAAGUCAAAUUAUGUACCACCUCCUGAGACCUACACCACUGAGAAGAAGCCUCCGCCUCCAGAGCUUGACAUGGCAAUAAAAUGGUCUAACAUAUAUGAGGACAAUGGUGAUGAUGCUCCACAGAAUGCUAAGAAAGCUAGGCUUCUACCAGAAGGGGAGGAGACGUUGGAAUCAGCACUUGAAGAUCUUGAAAUCCAGAACUGA
Molecule: small RNA, 631 nt
Filed under: Pongo abelii (Sumatran orangutan)
Lineage: Eukaryota; Metazoa; Chordata; Mammalia; Primates; Hominidae
Description: processed transcript
Source: RNAcentral